This 465-nucleotide ribosomal RNA is filed under the name uncultured bacterium. Its description in RNAcentral is "partial 16S ribosomal RNA". It matches the Rfam family "Bacterial small subunit ribosomal RNA", at positions 338 to 795 of the family's 1533-position model. The record is from RNAcentral.
CCUACGGGCGGCAGCAGUAGGGAAUCUUCCACAAUGGGCGAAAGCCUGAUGGAGCAACGCCGCGUGGGUGAAGAAGGUCUUCGGAUCGUAAAACCCUGUUGUUAGAGAAGAAAGUGCGUGAGAGUAACUGUUCACGUUUCGACGGUAUCUAACCAGAAAGCCACGGCUAACUACGUGCCAGCAGCCGCGGUAAUACGUAGGUGGCAAGCGUUAUCCGGAUUUAUUGGGCGUAAAGGGAACGCAGGCGGUCUUUUAAGUCUGAUGUGAAAGCCUUCGGCUUAACCGGAGUAGUGCAUUGGAAACUGGGAGACUUGAGUGCAGAAGAGGAGAGUGGAACUCCAUGUGUAGCGGUGAAAGGCGUAGAUAUAUGGAAGAACACCAGUGGCGAAGGCAGCUUACCAAACUAUAUCUGACGUUGAGGCACGAAAGCGUGGGUAGCAAACAGGAUUAGAUACCCUAGUAGUC